AUUUCUUUGCAGGACUGACGGAUAAGUGGAAUUGACCACAUGUACUGCAAAGUGAAUCAGCCGACCGUCUGGGCAGAGAAC
RNAcentral lists this non-coding RNA (81 nucleotides) under Schwartzia succinivorans. RNAcentral's name for it is "ZTP sequence". It matches the Rfam family "ZMP/ZTP riboswitch aptamer (pfl RNA motif)". Rfam says of the family: Previously known as pfl RNA. ZMP is also known as AICAR. Lineage: Bacteria; Bacillati; Bacillota; Negativicutes; Selenomonadales; Selenomonadaceae. RNAcentral also lists the same sequence under 1 other name. The record is from RNAcentral.